RNAcentral lists this ribosomal RNA (1372 nucleotides) under uncultured bacterium. RNAcentral's name for it is "bacterial SSU rRNA". It matches the Rfam family "Bacterial small subunit ribosomal RNA", at positions 28 to 1381 of the family's 1533-position model. The record is from RNAcentral.
GAUGAACGCUGGCGGCGUGCCUAAUACAUGCAAGUCGAGCGAACGGACGAGAAGCUUGCUUCUCUGAUGUUAGCGGCGGACGGGUGAGUAACACGUGGAUAACCUACCCAUAAGACUGGGAUAACUUCGGGAAACCGGGGCUAAUACCGGAUAAUAUUUUGAACCGCAUGGUUCAAAAGUGAAAGACGGUCUUGCUGUCACUUAUGGAUGGAUCCGCGCUGCAUUAGCUAGUUGGUAAGGUAACGGCUUACCAAGGCAACGAUGCAUAGCCGACCUGAGAGGGUGAUCGGCCACACUGGAACUGAGACACGGUCCAGACUCCUACGGGAGGCAGCAGUAGGGAAUCUUCCGCAAUGGGCGAAAGCCUGACGGAGCAACGCCGCGUGAGUGAUGAAGGUCUUCGGAUCGUAAAACUCUGUUAUUAGGGAAGAACAUAUGUGUAAGUAACUGUGCACAUCUUGACGGUACCUAAUCAGAAAGCCACGGCUAACUACGUGCCAGCAGCCGCGGUAAUACGUAGGUGGCAAGCGUUAUCCGGAAUUAUUGGGCGUAAAGCGCGCGUAGGCGGUUUUUUAAGUCUGAUGUGAAAGCCCACGGCUCAACCGUGGAGGGUCAUUGGAAACUGGAAAACUUGAGUGCAGAAGAGGAAAGUGGAAUUCCAUGUGUAGCGGUGAAAUGCGCAGAGAUAUGGAGGAACACCAGUGGCGAAGGCGACUUUCUGGUCUGUAACUGACGCUGAUGUGCGAAAGCGUGGGGAUCAAACGGGAUUAGAUACCCUGGUAGUCCACGCCGUAAACGAUGAGUGCUAAGUGUUAGGGGGUUUCCGCCCCUUAGUGCUGCAGCUAACGCAUUAAGCACUCCGCCUGGGGAGUACGACCGCAAGGUUGAAACUCAAAGGAAUUGACGGGGACCCGCACAAGCGGUGGAGCAUGUGGUUUAAUUCGAAGCAACGCGAAGAACCUUACCAAAUCUUGACAUCCUUUGACAACUCUAGAGAUAGAGCCUUCCCCUUCGGGGGACAAAGUGACAGGUGGUGCAUGGUUGUCGUCAGCUCGUGUCGUGAGAUGUUGGGUUAAGUCCCGCAACGAGCGCAACCCUUAAGCUUAGUUGCCAUCAUUAAGUUGGGCACUCUAAGUUGACUGCCGGUGACAAACCGGAGGAAGGUGGGGAUGACGUCAAAUCAUCAUGCCCCUUAUGAUUUGGGCUACACACGUGCUACAAUGGACAAUACAAAGGGCAGCGAAACCGCGAGGUCAAGCAAAUCCCAUAAAGUUGUUCUCAGUUCGGAUUGUAGUCUGCAACUCGACUACAUGAAGCUGGAAUCGCUAGUAAUCGUAGAUCAGCAUGCUACGGUGAAUACGUUCCCGGGUCU